UACGUAGGGUGCAAGCAUUAUCCGGAGUGACUGGGCGUAAAGAGUUGCGUAGGUGGACAAGUAAGCGAAUAGUGAAAUGUGGCGGCUCAACCGUACACACUAUUAUUCGAACUGCUCGUCUCGAGAAUGGUAGAGGUAACUGGAAUUUCUAGUGUAGGAGUGAAAUCCGUAGAUAUUAGAAGGAACACCAAUGGCGUAGGCAGGUUACUGGACCAUUUCUGACACUAAGGCACGAAAGCGUGGGGAGCGAACCGG
Molecule: ribosomal RNA, 255 nt
Filed under: uncultured bacterium
Lineage: Bacteria
Description: partial 16S ribosomal RNA
Rfam family: Bacterial small subunit ribosomal RNA
Source: RNAcentral